This 501-nucleotide ribosomal RNA is filed under the name uncultured bacterium. RNAcentral's name for it is "partial 16S ribosomal RNA". It matches the Rfam family "Bacterial small subunit ribosomal RNA", at positions 30 to 523 of the family's 1533-position model. The record is from RNAcentral.
AUUGAACGCUGGCGGCAGGCUUAACACAUGCAAGUCGAGCGGGGGAAGGUAGCUUGCUACCUAACCUAGCGGCGGACGGGUGAGUAAUGCUUAGGAAUCUGCCUAUUAGUGGGGGACAACAUUUCGAAAGGGAUGCUAAUACCGCAUACGCCCUAAGGGGGAAAGCAGGGGAUCUUCGGACCUUGCGCUAAUAGAUGAGCCUAAGUCGGAUUAGCUAGUUGGUGGGGUAAAGGCCUACCAAGGCGACGAUCUGUAGCGGGUCUGAGAGGAUGAUCCGCCACACUGGGACUGAGACACGGCCCAGACUCCUACGGGAGGCAGCAGUGGGGCAUAUUGGACAAUGGGGGGAACCCUGAUCCAGCCAUGCCGCGUGUGUGAAGAAGGCCUUUUGGUUGUAAAGCACUUUAAGCGAGGAGGAGGCUACCGAGAUUAAUACUCUUGGAUAGUGGACGUUACUCGCAGAAUAAGCACCGGCUAACUCUGUGCCAGCCGCCGCCGUAA